UGUCAGGUUUCGUAGUACAUAUUAGAGCUGCCUGAAUCUAUUUUUAUAUAGUAAAUAAAAACAGUAUUAUUAUAAUAAUGUGAUGAUGCAACCCUAGCUGUCAUUUCAAUCAGAGUUGAGUAAAAUUGUUGGACUUUCACAUUGUGUCGCCAGUUGUUUUUACACAUCUCUCGCGUUAAGUUGAUAAUUUUGAAAAGAAGUGAGAUAAUACAAGUAACGCCGACUUGCGGGAAUAUUUAAUUUUUCUAUUAUUACAUUACUUACAUUUGUAAACUUUGUGAAAAUUUAAAGAAAUUAAAAUAAUAUAGUGUGGUCUAUUAAGGGAUAUCACACCUUUUGAAAUAGAGAAUAAAAAUUGUACAUAAAACCAAGGUCAGUGAAUAAGAUACGGAAUUGAAAGCAAAAUUUCGCUAAAACAGUGCAAAUAAAGGAACGUCAAAGAAAUUUAUGUUCAGGCCAAAUUUUUACAAAGACCGCUAAAAUCUUAAAAACAAUAGGAAUUCCGAAAUUCUAUUGCAUUAACUUGUGAAGUAAAAUAUAUAAAUUUGAUAACGCAGAUCAUAAUUGCUGCGGUGUACGUGUGUGUGCGGUUAUUAAAUUAGGCUGUGUUUGGAAUUUUUGUAAAAAUUCCACGUGAAUGUCUUCACAAUCGUCGGCCCGUUAUUUACCAAUAACUAAAAUGGACAAUCCCGCUCUGUCUGGGUCCAGUGGUGAUGUGGAGGCCGAUAGUAAUUCUGUGGAAGCUAGUCUACCCGCCACCUGUUCGUCGCAGCAAUUAAUGCCUUCAUCCUCAGACACGGAUAGCGUUGGUGUACAACCGCCAACUACCGGUAUCACGAGAACACAAUGGUUCACAGUGGUGGUGUUGUGCUUUGUGAAUUUAAUCAACUAUAUGGAUCGCUUUACUAUAGCAGGUGUUUUAACAGAUAUACAAGCAGAUUUUAAAAUCGGUGACGAUGAUGGUGGUCUUCUACAGACCGCUUUUGUGCUCUCAUAUAUGGUUUGUGCGCCACUUUUUGGCUACCUCGGCGAUCGUUAUUCGCGUCGUUGGAUUAUGGCCAUCGGUGUAUUGUUAUGGUCGACAACAACGUUGAUUGGCUCAUUUAUGGGCGGCUUCGGUGGUUUCAUCACAUUCCGCGCAUUAGUGGGUAUCGGAGAAGCUUCAUAUAGUACCAUAGCACCCACCAUAAUCUCCGAUUUGUUCAUACACGAUUUACGUUCGAAAAUGUUGGCGUUAUUCUAUUUCGCGAUACCAGUUGGUUCCGGAUUUGGUUACAUUGUCGGCUCGGAGACUGCGCGCUUGGCUAAUAACUGGCGUUGGGCGCUUCGUGUCACACCCUUACUGGGCAUUGUGGCUGUUGUGCUGAUUAUAUUGAUCAAAGAGCCAGAGCGUGGUGAGAGCGAAGGCUCACCACAUUUGGAACCCACCAGCUACACAGAGGAUAUUAAGGACUUGGUGAAGAAUCAUUCGUUUAUGCUUUCGACAGCUGGUUUCACUUGCGUUGCUUUUGUAACCGGUGCGCUCGCCUGGUGGGGACCUAAAUUCAUUUACCUAGGCAUCAAAAUGCAGCCUGGCAACGAGGAGCUGUCGCUGAAUGACGUUUCGUUACGUUUUGGCAUUAUUACAAUGGUAGCUGGUCUAAUUGGCGUGCCGCUCGGUCCAAUAGUGUCGCGUGCGGUUGCCAGUUACAAGAACAACGCCGAUCCCUUGGUAUGCGCCUAUGGAUUAUUCUUUAGCUCAUUUUUUCUUGCUGCCGCGAUGCUGUUUGUCACAAAAUACGUCGUUAUGUCGUAUAUUUUAAUGUUCAUCGGUCAAUUAUUUUUGAAUCUAAAUUGGGCACUUGUGGCUGAUAUUUUACUGUAUGUUGUCGUGCCGACACGCCGUUCCACCGCCGAAGCCUUCCAAAUUCUGGUCUCGCAUGCAUUAGGAGAUGCUGGCAGUCCCUACUUCGUUGGCUUGCUCUCGGAAGGUAUCAAGCGCCAUUUACGAGCCACUACCACUCAGACCAGUGAGUUCAGUUUGGGUAUACCUAGCAUGUCACUGACUUUGGAAGACAGUAGUCAAAAUAUUACCGACAGCAUAUUGUCGAUUAAUGCCACAACAGAAAACAAGAAUCUCUUAACUCAGGCUGCCAGCGUGGUGAGUGAAAAUGUCACAGCAUUGGUAGCGAAUGCCACAAGUUUAUUACAGCAAAAUGCCACCGAUUUCGUCAGUCAAUUACGUGAGGAGAAAAUACUCGAAUUCGACUUGGAGGACACCGAUAGCAAUAGUUUCAAAGCGCUGCAAUAUUCACUCUUUUCCACAAGUUUUAUUGAAGUUUUGGGUGCCGUUUUCUUCUUUUUAACUGCCAUUUACAUAUUGAAAGAUAAGCGUCGAGCGACGCGUUCCACACUUGUUAACGAAUUAAAUGAUGUUAGCAAUACAGCUAAUAAAAAUACAGAAUUCGAUUUCGAAGAUUCCGAAUGUAUCGUUCUUUGUACUGAUAUUUCGCGAAAACAACGUGCUUGAGGAAACAAAAUUAAUAGCGAAAGUACAAAAAAUAUUCAAAUUUGCCAUUAUUGCGUUGAAUUGCAAUCAAGCAGCUGAGCAGUGAAGUGCACUUCCAAUAAAUUAUGCUAAUGAAUAAUUUAUAAGCCAGUUAUCCGAUUAGCCAGCCAAUCAACCCACAAGCAAUUGAUUAUAUAACAAACCACAUAACCCUUCUAAACUGGGGAUGUGUUGCGCAAAAGGCAAACAUAUAUGACACAUAUGACUGAAAUAUUAGUUUUAACUAAUUAUUUUGUAGUAGUAAUGAUUAUAAUAGAAUCAUGUGUGCCUCAAGAAGUGGGUGUGUUCCUAUUAGAAACGUGUAAAUGGAUAAUUAUGUAAACAUCAAACCAUUCAACAUCAAACACAUAUAUUGAAAUGCAUGUAUAUACAAAAUAAACAUUUAUCAUUCUCAUUUAGCAAACAUCAUUAACCGUUAAGAUGAUUCCUAUUGUGUAUUUAUUUGUAUUAUGAUUUUGAUAUUUAAAAAAUGUAAAAGUUUGUUAAAUGCGCCACUUAAAAGCAUAUCUCAUAUCACAUGUAUGUAUGUAUGUGCAUGUUCAGUGGGUGCGUAGGUUGUGAGUGUGGAAAAUGCAUACGACCACGUAUGUGGUCGAAAGCUCAGUGAUAGAAAUCAUAAGAAUUACAAUACAAUAAAAAAACAAACACCAAUUUUUAUGUGAAAAUACAAAUUGUAUGUAUAUUUUGCUGAAUAGUAUUUAAUAAUUUUACAAUUUCGUUUAUUAAAAUUUUUACUCACGAACCACUCAUUGCCCUAUGCGGUGCGCAUGUUUAUUUUACCGCUAACUGAACAUUUAAUAUUAUAUUUAUGACAUAUAUGGUAUAUGUACAUACAUAGAUGUAUAUAGCUUAAGUUUUUUUAUUUUUAAAUACGUUUACUCAGACAACAAGCAUUGUAAAAAGAAAUAAAGAAAAGUACGAGUAAGGGUACUAAAUGCACAUUAGGUAUAUAAAUUAGUUAGCAUUACAAUAAUUAGAUAAAAACUAAUUUCUAAAUAAACUAGUGGAAUAAGCAGUGAUGUAAGAAGCGGGUGUGCAUUACAACUAUUUCUCUGGUAGUUUUUUUUACCUGAAAACUUCUAAUUUAUAUAAAAACACAAUAGCUUAAAUUCUUUUAAAAAAUUGUAAUUUUAGAACACUAGAAAAUUAUAAAAUUGGCACAUUUAUUGUAUAUUAACUGCCUUUCCCAACUAACUUUAUUUAAAUUACUUAUUUUGCCUGCCGUUUAUAAAUUAUUGUAUAUGCAUACCCCUUCCCUACCGUAAUGAAUCUGUUAGUUUUAUUAAAUUUCGCAAUGGAGCAGAAUUCAUGAAAUAAGACUGUUUUAGGAUGUGUUAUAUAUACAUAUAUUAUAUAUAAAUUUAAAAUAACUUGAUUAAAAAUAUAUUGUAAUGAAUAAAACUUGUACGCAUAGCAGGUAAAUACAUAAAUGUUCUUAUACAUAUAAA
Bactrocera oleae (olive fruit fly) is the source of this 3996-nucleotide RNA transcript. It is a transcript of the gene named Protein spinster, with no coding region annotated. Lineage: Eukaryota; Metazoa; Arthropoda; Insecta; Diptera; Tephritidae. The record is from RefSeq and is a predicted model, not a curated record.